Molecule: ribosomal RNA, 122 nt
Filed under: Chinchilla lanigera (long-tailed chinchilla)
Lineage: Eukaryota; Metazoa; Chordata; Mammalia; Rodentia; Chinchillidae
Source: RNAcentral
GUAUAUGGCCACACCACUCUGAACGUGCCCGAUCUCUUCCGAUCCUGGAAGCGAGGCAGGGUCAGGCCUUGUUAACACUUAGAAGGGAGAACGCAAACCACAGAGACCCAGAUCUGAAUCUU